RNAcentral lists this ribosomal RNA (253 nucleotides) under uncultured bacterium. Its description in RNAcentral is "partial 16S ribosomal RNA". It matches the Rfam family "Bacterial small subunit ribosomal RNA", at positions 524 to 776 of the family's 1533-position model. The record is from RNAcentral.
UACGCAGGGGGCUAGCGUUGUUCGGAAUUACUGGGCGUAAGGCGCACGUAGGCGGAUUUGUUAGUCAGGGGUGAAAUCCCGGGGCUCAACCUCGGAACUGCCUUUGAUACUGCAAAUCUCGAGUCCGGAAGAGGUGAGUGGAAUUCCUAGUGUAGAGGUGAAAUUCGUAGAUAUUAGGAAGAACACCAGUGGCGAAGGCGGCUCACUGGUCCGGUACUGACGCUGAGGUGCGAAAGCGUGGGGAGCAAACAGG